Molecule: long non-coding RNA, 253 nt
Organism: Hypanus sabinus (Atlantic stingray)
Lineage: Eukaryota; Metazoa; Chordata; Chondrichthyes; Myliobatiformes; Dasyatidae
Exons: 3
Source: RefSeq, a predicted model, not a curated record
GCAAAAUUGUUCGGAACAUGAUUCAAGGCUCCUCGAAAUAAAUUCAAACAAUGAAAAGAAGUUUGUUUCCAACGCUGUCGAACGAUAUGUAACAUACUGGAUUGGAAAAUGCGCAGGCAGGAAUGUGGCCUCUGAUCUUGUGUACGAGUUAAGCUAUGAAACGCCCACCUGCAGUAAGUGCGGAUCGAGUUACCGUUACAGUUGCAAAAGUAAAUUCAGAUUCAUCUGCGAGAAGACGGCAUAUUUAUACCCG